GCUAUCUACAGGCUUAACACAUGCAAGUCGAGGGGCAGCAUGGUCUUAGCUUGCUAAGGCCGAUGGCGACCGGCGCACGGGUGAGUAACACGUAUCCAACCUGCCGUCUACUCUUGGACAGCCUUCUGAAAGGAAGAUUAAUACAAGAUGGCAUCAUGAGUCCGCAUGUUCACAUGAUUAAAGGUAUUCCGGUAGACGAUGGGGAUGCGUUCCAUUAGAUAGUAGGCGGGGUAACGGCCCACCUAGUCUUCGAUGGAUAGGGGUUCUGAGAGGAAGGUCCCCCACAUUGGAACUGAGACACGGUCCAAACUCCUACGGGAGGCUGCAGUGAGGAAUAUUGGUCAAUGGGCGCAGGCCUGAACCAGCCAAGUAGCGUGAAGGAUGACUGCCCUAUGGGUUGUAAACUUCUUUUAUAAAGGAAUAAAGUCGGGUAUGGAUACCCGUUUGCAUGUACUUUAUGAAUAAGGAUCGGCUAACUCCGUGCCAGCAGCCGCGGUAAUACGGAGGAUCCGAGCGUUAUCCGGAUUUAUUGGGUUUAAAGGGAGCGUGGAUGGAUGUUUAAGUCAGUUGUGAAAGUUUGCAGCUCAACCGUAAAAUUACAGUUGAUACUGGAUAUCUUGAGUGCAGUUGAGGCAGGCGGAAUUCGUGGUGUAGCGGUGAAAUGCUUAGAUAUCACGAAGAACUCCGAUUGCGAAGGCAGCCUGCUAAGCUGCAACUGACAUUGAGGCUCGAAAGUGUGGGUAUCAAACAGGAUUAGAUACCCUGGUAGUCCACACGGUAAAACGAUGAAUACUCCGCUGUUUGCGAUAUACAGCAAGCGGCCAAGCGAAAGCGUUAAGUAUUCCACCUGGGGAGUACGCCGGCAACGGUGAAACUCAAAGGAAUUGACGGGGGCCCGCACAAGCGGAGGAACAUGUGGUUUAAUUCGAUGAUACGCGAGGAACCUUACCCGGGCUUAAAUUGCAGAUGAAUUACGGUGAAAGCCGUAAGCCGCAAGGCAUCUGUGAGGGUGCUGCAUGGUUGUCGUCAGCUCGUGCCGUGAGGUGUCGGCUUAAGUGCCAUAACGAGCGCAACCCUUGUUGUCAGUUACUAACAGGUUCCGCUGAGGACUCUGACAAGACUGCCAUCGUAAGAUGUGAGGAAGGUGGGGAUGACGUCAAAUCAGCACGGCCCUUACGUCCGGGGCUACACACGUGUUACAAUGGGGGGUACAGAGGGCCGCUACCACGCGAGUGGAUGCCAAUCCCCAAAACCUCUCUCAGUUCGGACUGGAGUCUGCAACCCGACUCCACGAAGCUGGAUUCGCUAGUAAUCGCGCAUCAGCCAUGGCGCGGUGAAUACGUUCCCGGGCCUUGUACACACCGCCCGUCAAGCCAUGAAAGCCGGGGGCGCCUGAAGUCCGUGACCGCAAGGAUCGGCCUAGGGCGAAACUGGUGAUUGGGGCUAAG
This 1448-nucleotide ribosomal RNA is filed under the name uncultured organism. RNAcentral's name for it is "SSU rRNA". It matches the Rfam family "Bacterial small subunit ribosomal RNA". The record is from RNAcentral.